CCUUGGCAAACUAUUUGCUGACACCAUCCACUUGGGCUUGGCUGACUAGCCUCCCCAAGUACACCAUCAUCAACAGUUGGGCCGAGCUGAAGGCCCAGUU
RNAcentral lists this small nucleolar RNA (100 nucleotides) under Oryza punctata. RNAcentral's name for it is "snoRNA snoZ256". It matches the Rfam family "Small nucleolar RNA Z256". From Rfam's summary of the family: Z256 is a member of the C/D class of snoRNA which contain the C (UGAUGA) and D (CUGA) box motifs. Lineage: Eukaryota; Viridiplantae; Streptophyta; Magnoliopsida; Poales; Poaceae. The record is from Rfam by way of RNAcentral.